This 459-nucleotide ribosomal RNA is filed under the name uncultured bacterium. RNAcentral describes it as "partial 16S ribosomal RNA". It matches the Rfam family "Bacterial small subunit ribosomal RNA", at positions 338 to 795 of the family's 1533-position model. The record is from RNAcentral.
CCUACGGGUGGCAGCAGUGAGGAAUAUUGGUCAAUGGGCGCGAGCCUGAACCAGCCAAGUCGCGUGAGGGAAGACGGUCCUAUGGAUUGUAAACCUCUUUUGUCGGGGAGCAAAAGACGCCACGCGUGGUGUUCCGAGAGUACCCGAAGAAAAAGCAUCGGCUAACUCCGUGCCAGCCGCCGCGGUAAUACUGAGGAUGCGAACGUUAUCCGGAUUUAAUGGGUUAAAGGGGUGCGCAGGCGGAAGAUCAAGUCAGCGGUAAAAUUGAGAGGCUCAACCUCUUCGAGCCGUUGAAACUGGUUUUCUUGAGUGAGCGAGAAGUAUGCGGAAUGCGUGGUGUAGCGGUGAAAUGCAUAGAUAUCACGCAGAACUCCGAUUGCGAAGGCAGCAUACCGGCGCUCAACUGACGCUCAUGCACGAAAGUGUGGGUAUCGAACAGGAUUAGAUACCCUAGUAGUC